This 690-nucleotide unclassified non-coding RNA is filed under the name Hevea brasiliensis (rubber tree). The record is from RNAcentral. Lineage: Eukaryota; Viridiplantae; Streptophyta; Magnoliopsida; Malpighiales; Euphorbiaceae.
AAACAUCUUCUCUCUCAGUUGAUGAUUUAGGAGAAGAUAAGAGUUCAGAAAAUGGGGAAGAUGGUGGAUUUUUGAACUUGGAAAUGCCAGAUGAUGUGGAUGUGUGUAUAGAAUUGAAAGAUUGGUUAUUUGCACUUGAGGGUGCACAAGAGAUUGCAGAAAGGUGGUGGUUUUCCAACCCUGAAGAUGUAGNUUUCUGAUCAUGAACAUGUGGGCAGAGAAGUGAGUUGCUGGCAUACAACUUUCCAAAGUUUGUUAGUAAAAGCAAAAAAAACCAUUCCAAGGCAAGAACUGAAUGGAAAAGGGAAAUCACAUGAAAGACAGAAAUAUCCUGUGGAAUUGGUGAUAGUUGGUGUGAAAGGCUUGCAGAUCUUGAAGCCACUUGGACAAAAGGGCAUUUCUGUGUCUGAGAAUGGGAUAAAACAAGUUAUUGAGACUGGAGGGAUAAAUCUUGAAGCUCACAUGGUGAUGUCAGGGGAAAAUGUUGAUGAUGACAUGCCCACGUGGAUAGUGGAAAACUUGAAAUUCUCUGUUAACCAACCGAUUGAAGCUGUUGUGACCAAAGAUGAGCUCCAGCANNNNNNNNUCUGCUGUCGAAGUCUGAAGUUGAGGCAAUGGGUCGGAUAGCUGCUGGGGUCCUGAAGCUACUCAAAUUGGAGCGUUCCAUUGGCCAGGCAACCAUAUACCAAC